AAUGGACUCGCUCCUCUUUAGA
Molecule: transfer RNA, 22 nt
Filed under: Isabellaria riedeli
Lineage: Eukaryota; Metazoa; Mollusca; Gastropoda; Stylommatophora; Clausiliidae
Description: partial tRNA-Met
Source: RNAcentral